Molecule: ribosomal RNA, 843 nt
Filed under: Staphylococcus sp. C30-PCA-T3P21
Lineage: Bacteria; Bacillati; Bacillota; Bacilli; Caryophanales; Staphylococcaceae
Description: bacterial SSU rRNA
Rfam family: Bacterial small subunit ribosomal RNA
Source: RNAcentral
CUAUAAUGCAAGUCGAGCGAACGGAUAAGGAGCUUGCUCCUUUGAAGUUAGCGGCGGACGGGUGAGUAACACGUGGGUAACCUACCUAUAAGACUGGGAUAACUUCGGGAAACCGGAGCUAAUACCGGAUAACAUUUAGAACCGCAUGGUUCUAAAGUGAAAGAUGGUUUUGCUAUCACUUAUAGAUGGACCCGCGCCGUAUUAGCUAGUUGGUAAGGUAACGGCUUACCAAGGCGACGAUACGUAGCCGACCUGAGAGGGUGAUCGGCCACACUGGAACUGAGACACGGUCCAGACUCCUACGGGAGGCAGCAGUAGGGAAUCUUCCGCAAUGGGCGAAAGCCUGACGGAGCAACGCCGCGUGAGUGAUGAAGGGUUUCGGCUCGUAAAACUCUGUUAUUAGGGAAGAACAAAUGUGUAAGUAACUGUGCACAUCUUGACGGUACCUAAUCAGAAAGCCACGGCUAACUACGUGCCAGCAGCCGCGGUAAUACGUAGGUGGCAAGCGUUAUCCGGAAUUAUUGGGCGUAAAGCGCGCGUAGGCGGUUUCUUAAGUCUGAUGUGAAAGCCCACGGCUCAACCGUGGAGGGUCAUUGGAAACUGGGAAACUUGAGUGCAGAAGAGGAAAGUGGAAUUCCAUGUGUAGCGGUGAAAUGCGCAGAGAUAUGGAGGAACACCAGUGGCGAAGGCGACUUUCUGGUCUGUAACUGACGCUGAUGUGCGAAAGCGUGGGGAUCAAACAGGAUUAGAUACCCUGGUAGUCCACGCCGUAAACGAUGAGUGCUAAGUGUUAGGGGGUUUCCGCCCCUUAGUGCUGCAGCUAACGCAUUAAGCACUCCGCCU